This is a long non-coding RNA of Astatotilapia calliptera (eastern happy), 358 nucleotides long. Lineage: Eukaryota; Metazoa; Chordata; Actinopteri; Cichliformes; Cichlidae. The record is from Ensembl.
GGAGAAGAUGAGAUCAUACACAGUACCAUCAAAAUAUCAAAUCAUCCACAACAGCCAAUCAAACCAAGAAGAGUGAUUUCAAUAGUUUACUCUGCAGACAUUUAUUCAGCUGUGGUCUACUCAGCAGUGAGAACUGAAGACGUCGGUUAUGGACAAACAACCAUCAGAACAAGGAGGCCCAGACUUUAAACCAGAGCCAGACGUCGUCUACUCUUCACUGAAGUAGUCCACCAGUCCAACCACUGACGUCCAGCUGCUGGUCUCUAACUGGUCCUCCCAGCACCUCAGACCAGAGGAGAUCGACAAAAUGAUAAAACAUUUGUUAUUGUUUUGCAUUUUGCAGCAAAAUAAUUAAUGA